UACGGGGGGGGCAAGCGUUGUUCGGAAUUACUGGGCGUAAAGGGCUCGUAGGCGGCCAACUAAGUCAUACGUGAAAUCCCUCGGCUUAACCGGGGAACUGCGUCUGAUACUGGAUGGCUUGAGUUCGGGAGAGGGAUGCGGAAUUCCAGGUGUAGCGGUGAAAUGCGUAGAUAUCUGGAGGAACACCCGUGGCGAAGGCGGUUCUCUGGGACGGUACUGACACUGAGGAGCGAAGGCGUGGGUAGCAAACAGG
Molecule: ribosomal RNA, 253 nt
Filed under: uncultured bacterium
Lineage: Bacteria
Description: partial 16S ribosomal RNA
Rfam family: Bacterial small subunit ribosomal RNA
Source: RNAcentral